Molecule: transfer RNA, 69 nt
Filed under: Ictidomys tridecemlineatus (thirteen-lined ground squirrel)
Lineage: Eukaryota; Metazoa; Chordata; Mammalia; Rodentia; Sciuridae
Description: Spermophilus tridecemlineatus (thirteen-lined ground squirrel) tRNA
Rfam family: tRNA
About the family: Transfer RNA (tRNA) molecules are approximately 80 nucleotides in length. Their secondary structure includes four short double-helical elements and three loops (D, anti-codon, and T loops).
Source: Rfam by way of RNAcentral
GGGGUUGUGGCUCAGAGGUAAAGCGCUCGCCUAGAGUGCGAGAGGCACUGGGUUCGAUCCUUAGCACCA